This 482-nucleotide ribosomal RNA is filed under the name uncultured bacterium. RNAcentral describes it as "partial 16S ribosomal RNA". It matches the Rfam family "Bacterial small subunit ribosomal RNA", at positions 30 to 507 of the family's 1533-position model. The record is from RNAcentral.
AUUGAACGCUGGCGGCAUGCUUUACACAUGCAAGUCGAACGGUAACAGGCCGCAAGGUGCUGACGAGUGGCGAACGGGUGAGUAAUGCAUCGGAACGUGCCCAGUCGUGGGGGAUAACUACUCGAAAGAGUAGCUAAUACCGCAUACGAUCUAUGGAUGAAAGCGGGGGACCGUAAGGCCUCGCGCGAUUGGAGCGGCCGAUGUCAGAUUAGGUAGUUGGUGGGGUAAAGGCUCACCAAGCCAACGAUCUGUAGCUGGUCUGAGAGGACGACCAGCCACACUGGGACUGAGACACGGCCCAGACUCCUACGGGAGGCAGCAGUGGGGAAUUUUGGACAAUGGGCGCAAGCCUGAUCCAGCAAUGCCGCGUGCAGGAAGAAGGCCUUCGGGUUGUAAACUGCUUUUGUACGGAACGAAACGGCUCUGGUUAAUACCCGUGGCUAAUGACGGUACCGUAAGAAUAAGCACCGGCUAACUACGUG